RNAcentral lists this ribosomal RNA (451 nucleotides) under uncultured Chromatiales bacterium. RNAcentral describes it as "bacterial SSU rRNA". It matches the Rfam family "Bacterial small subunit ribosomal RNA", at positions 1077 to 1533 of the family's 1533-position model. The record is from RNAcentral. Lineage: Bacteria; Pseudomonadati; Pseudomonadota; Gammaproteobacteria; Chromatiales.
UGGGUAGUCCGUACGAGCGCACCUUGUCCCUAGUUGCCAGCACUUCGGGUGGGAACUCUAGGGAGACUGCCGGUGAUAAACCGGAGGAAGGUGGGGAUGACGUCAAGUCAUCAUGGCCCUUAUGGGGAGGGCUACACACGUGCUACAAUGGCCGGUACAGAGGGCUGCGAAGCCGCGAGGUGGAGCGAAUCUCAGAAAACCGGUCGUAGUCCGGAUUGCAGUCUGCAACUCGACUGCAUGAAGCCGGAAUUGCUAGUAAUCGCGGAUCAGAACGCCGCGGUGAAUACGUUCCCGGGCCUUGUACACACCGCCCGUCACACCAUGGGAGUGGGCUGUACCAGAAGUAGGUAGUCUAACCUUCGGGAGGACGCUUACCACGGUGUGGUUCAUGACUGGGGUGAAGUCGUAACAAGGUAGCCCUAGGGGAACCUGGGGCUGGAUCACCUCCUUU